This 220-nucleotide long non-coding RNA is filed under the name Nicotiana benthamiana. Its description in RNAcentral is "long non-coding RNA (NBEN_LNC000609)". Lineage: Eukaryota; Viridiplantae; Streptophyta; Magnoliopsida; Solanales; Solanaceae. The record is from RNAcentral.
UCCACCAAUUUUGCACCAAUUGUCAAAAGUGGGCCCCACCACUUUUGACCAAAAAACAAAAAUAAAAAAAUGGUGAACAGCAACGCGGAAUGAACAGUACACGCGGAAUGAACAGUACAUGCGGAAUGGACAGUAACUAUGAAUGGUGACGUGAAUGGUAAAUUUUGUCUCAUAUCAACAAUCUCCACCUUGAGACAUAAUUUACUCUUGUAACAAAAAA